RNAcentral lists this transfer RNA (69 nucleotides) under Urocitellus parryii (Arctic ground squirrel). RNAcentral describes it as "Spermophilus parryii (Arctic ground squirrel) tRNA". It matches the Rfam family "tRNA". From Rfam's summary of the family: Transfer RNA (tRNA) molecules are approximately 80 nucleotides in length. RNAcentral also lists the same sequence under 2 other names. Lineage: Eukaryota; Metazoa; Chordata; Mammalia; Rodentia; Sciuridae. The record is from Rfam by way of RNAcentral.
GGGGUUGUAGCUCAGUGGUAGAGCACUUGCCUAGCAUGUGUGAGGCACUGGGUUCAAUUCUCAGCACCG